ACCUAAUAGAUACCCUGGUAGUCCACGCCCUAAACGAUGCGAACUGGAUGUUGGGUACAUUACGGUACUCAGUGUCGAAAGCUAAACGCGUUAAGUUCGCCGCCUGGGGAGUACGGUCGCAAGACUGAAACUCAAAGGAAUUGACGGGGGCCCGCACAAGCGGUGGAGUAUGUGGUUUAAUUCGAUGCAACGCGAAGAACCUUACCUGGCCUUGACAUCUGUCGAAUCCUGCAGAGAUGCGGGAGUGCCGCAAGGAACGACAAGACAGGUGCUGCAUGGCUGUCGUCAGCUCGUGUCGUGAGAUGUUGGGUUAAGUCCCGCAACGAGCGCAACCCUUGUCCCUAGUUGCCAGCACAUCAUGGUGGGAACUCUAGGGAGACUGCCGGUGACAAACCGGAGGAAGGUGGGGAUGACGUCAAGUCCUCGUAGCGUACCGUA
This 438-nucleotide ribosomal RNA is filed under the name uncultured bacterium. RNAcentral describes it as "bacterial SSU rRNA". It matches the Rfam family "Bacterial small subunit ribosomal RNA", at positions 771 to 1204 of the family's 1533-position model. The record is from RNAcentral.